GACGAACGCUGGCGGCGUGCUUAACACAUGCAAGUCGAACGGAAAGGCCCUGCUUUUGUGGGGUGCUCGAGUGGCGAACGGGUGAGUAACACGUGAGUAACCUGCCCUUGACUUUGGUAUAACUUCAUGAAACUGGGGCUAAUACCGGAUAGGAGCUCCUGCUGCAUGGUGGGGGUUGGAAAGUUUCGGCGGUUGGGGAUGGACUCGCGGCUUAUCAGCUUGUUGGUGGGGUAGUGGCUUACCAAGGCUUUGACGGGUAGCCGGCCUGAGAGGGUGACCGGCCACAUUGGGACUGAGAUGCGGCCCAGACUCGUCCGGGACGCAGAAGUGGGGAAGAGUGCACAAUGGGCGGAAGCCUGAUGCAGCAACGCCGCGUGCGGGAUGACGGCCUUCGGGUUGUAAACCGCUUCCGCCUGUGACGAAGCGUGAGUGACGGUAAUGGGUAAAGAAGCACCGGCUAACUACGUG
RNAcentral lists this ribosomal RNA (468 nucleotides) under uncultured bacterium. Its description in RNAcentral is "partial 16S ribosomal RNA". It matches the Rfam family "Bacterial small subunit ribosomal RNA", at positions 28 to 507 of the family's 1533-position model. The record is from RNAcentral.